UGAGAAGUAGAAGCAGGUUUGGGUUCUGGAGAACCACAAUAAAGAGGUUUUCAGGGGAAUGACCGAAGUCACAAAGCAAGACAGACUGAGUCAGGAUGAAAUCUGAAACAGACACCAGCAACAAACAGUUUACUGCUGUUGUUCAGUUGCCAAGUGGGUGUUUCGAUUAAAAUAGGAGAUCCGCCAAGAUCUGUUUAUAUGAACCUAUGGGAGGAGAGCUCUGAAGUGGAAAUGGCCCCUGUUCGCCUAAGACUGUUGCUAUUAUUUUUGCCAAGAGACUAUUGACUUCAAACUCUGUGAUUGAAAGACUACCACGAAUUCAAGGUAUUACAGACAACAA
This 340-nucleotide long non-coding RNA is filed under the name Phascolarctos cinereus (koala). RNAcentral's name for it is "lncRNA (ENSPCIG00000035055.1)". The record is from RNAcentral. Lineage: Eukaryota; Metazoa; Chordata; Mammalia; Diprotodontia; Phascolarctidae.